AUGAGCGGCAGACGGGUGAGUAACGCGUGGGAAUCUACCCAUUUCUACGGGAUAACACGGAGAAAUUUGUGCUAAUACCGUAUACGUCCUUAGGGAGAAAGAUUUAUCGGAGAUGGAUGAGCCCGCGUUGGAUUAGCUAGUUGGUAGGGUAAAGGCUUACCAAGGCGACGAUCCAUAGCUGGUCUGAGAGGAUGAUCAGCCACACUGGGACUGAGACACGGCCCAGACUCCUACGGGAGGCAGCAGUGGGGAAUAUUGGACAAUGGGGGCAACCCUGAUCCAGCCAUGCCGCGUGAGUGAAGAAGGCCUUAGGGUUGUAAAGCUCUUUCGCCGGUGAAGAUAAUGACGGUAACCGGAGAAGAAGCCCCGGCUAACUUCGUGCCAGCAGCCGCGGUAAUACGAAGGGGGCUAGCGUUGUUCGGAUUUACUGGGCGUAAAGCGCAUGUAGGCGGAUAUUUAAGUCAGAGGUGAAAUCCCAGGGCUCAACCUUGGAACUGCCUUUGAUACUGGAUGUCUUGAGUAU
Molecule: ribosomal RNA, 523 nt
Filed under: uncultured Bartonella sp.
Lineage: Bacteria; Pseudomonadati; Pseudomonadota; Alphaproteobacteria; Hyphomicrobiales; Bartonellaceae
Description: bacterial SSU rRNA
Rfam family: Bacterial small subunit ribosomal RNA
Source: RNAcentral